UACGUAGGGUGCGAGCGUUAAUCGGAAUUACUGGGCGUAAAGUGUGCGCAGGUGGCCGCGCAAGUCGAGUGUGAAAGCCCCGGGCUUAACUUGGGAAUUGCGCUUGAAACUACGGAGCUGGAGUGUGGCAGAGGGAGGUAGAAUUCCACGUGUAGCGGUGAAAUGCGUAGAUAUGUGGAGGAAUACCGAUGGCGAAGGCAGCCUCCUGGGCCAACACUGACGCUCAUGCACGAAAGCGUGGGGAGCAAACAGG
This 253-nucleotide ribosomal RNA is filed under the name uncultured bacterium. RNAcentral's name for it is "partial 16S ribosomal RNA". It matches the Rfam family "Bacterial small subunit ribosomal RNA", at positions 524 to 776 of the family's 1533-position model. The record is from RNAcentral.